This 1172-nucleotide ribosomal RNA is filed under the name Bacillus stercoris. RNAcentral describes it as "bacterial SSU rRNA". It matches the Rfam family "Bacterial small subunit ribosomal RNA", at positions 61 to 1216 of the family's 1533-position model. The record is from RNAcentral. Lineage: Bacteria; Bacillati; Bacillota; Bacilli; Caryophanales; Bacillaceae.
GUCGAGCGGACAGAUGGGAGCUUGCUCCCUGAUGUUAGCGGCGGACGGGUGAGUAACACGUGGGUAACCUGCCUGUAAGACUGGGAUAACUCCGGGAAACCGGGGCUAAUACCGGAUGGUUGUUUGAACCGCAUGGUUCAAACAUAAAAGGUGGCUUCGGCUACCACUUACAGAUGGACCCGCGGCGCAUUAGCUAGUUGGUGAGGUAACGGCUCACCAAGGCGACGAUGCGUAGCCGACCUGAGAGGGUGAUCGGCCACACUGGGACUGAGACACGGCCCAGACUCCUACGGGAGGCAGCAGUAGGGAAUCUUCCGCAAUGGACGAAAGUCUGACGGAGCAACGCCGCGUGAGUGAUGAAGGUUUUCGGAUCGUAAAGCUCUGUUGUUAGGGAAGAACAAGUACCGUUCGAAUAGGGCGGUACCUUGACGGUACCUAACCAGAAAGCCACGGCUAACUACGUGCCAGCAGCCGCGGUAAUACGUAGGUGGCAAGCGUUGUCCGGAAUUAUUGGGCGUAAAGGGCUCGCAGGCGGUUUCUUAAGUCUGAUGUGAAAGCCCCCGGCUCAACCGGGGAGGGUCAUUGGAAACUGGGGAACUUGAGUGCAGAAGAGGAGAGUGGAAUUCCACGUGUAGCGGUGAAAUGCGUAGAGAUGUGGAGGAACACCAGUGGCGAAGGCGACUCUCUGGUCUGUAACUGACGCUGAGGAGCGAAAGCGUGGGGAGCGAACAGGAUUAGAUACCCUGGUAGUCCACGCCGUAAACGAUGAGUGCUAAGUGUUAGGGGGUUUCCGCCCCUUAGUGCUGCAGCUAACGCAUUAAGCACUCCGCCUGGGGAGUACGGUCGCAAGACUGAAACUCAAAGGAAUUGACGGGGGCCCGCACAAGCGGUGGAGCAUGUGGUUUAAUUCGAAGCAACGCGAAGAACCUUACCAGGUCUUGACAUCCUCUGACAAUCCUAGAGAUAGGACGUCCCCUUCGGGGGCAGAGUGACAGGUGGUGCAUGGUUGUCGUCAGCUCGUGUCCUGAGAUGUUGGGUUAAGUCCCGCAACGAGCGCAACCCUUGAUCUUAGUUGCCAGCAUUCAGUUGGGCACUCUAAGGUGACUGCCGGUGACAAACCGGAGGAAGGUGGGGAUGACGUCAAAUCAUCAUGCCCCUUAUGACCUGGGCUA